Molecule: ribosomal RNA, 203 nt
Filed under: uncultured bacterium
Lineage: Bacteria
Description: partial 16S ribosomal RNA
Rfam family: Bacterial small subunit ribosomal RNA
Source: RNAcentral
UACGUAGGGUGCAAGCGUUAUCCGGAAUUAUUGGGCGUAAAGAGCUUGUAGGCGGUUUGUCGCGUCUGCUGUGAAAAUCCGGGGCUCAACCCCGGACUUGCAGUGGGUACGGGCAGACUAGAGUGUGGUAGGGGGAGACUGGAAUUCCUGGUGUAGCGGUGGAAUGCGCAGAUAUCAGGAGGAACACCGGUGGCGAAGGCGGG